This 289-nucleotide ribosomal RNA is filed under the name uncultured bacterium. RNAcentral's name for it is "partial 16S ribosomal RNA". It matches the Rfam family "Bacterial small subunit ribosomal RNA", at positions 773 to 1060 of the family's 1533-position model. The record is from RNAcentral.
GUGGAUUAGAUACCCUGGUAGUCCACACCGUAAACGAUGAUCACUAGUCGUCGGAGGAUUCGACCCCUUCGGUGACGACGCUAACGCAUUAAGUGAUCCACCUGGGGAGUACGAUCGCAAGGUUGAAACUCAAAGGAAUUGACGGGGGCCCGCACAAGCGGUGGAGCAUGUGGUUUAAUUCGAUGCAACGCGAAGAACCUUACCUGGGCUCGAAGUGCAGUUUAAUCUCAUGAAAGUGAGGUAUCCCUUCGGGGAAGGCUGCAUAGGUGCUGCACGGCUGUCGACAGCU